AAUACCAGCCUUUGCCUUGGGGUGGGAUUAGUGGCGAACGGGUGAGUAACACGUGAGUAACCUGCCCUUAACUCUGGGAUAAGCCUGGGAAACUGGGUCUAAUACCGGAUAGGAGCGUCCACCGCAUGGUGGGUGUUGGAAAGAUUUAUCGGUUUUGGAUGGACUCGCGGCCUAUCAGCUUGUUGGUGAGGUAAUGGCUCACCAAGGCGACGACGGGUAGCCGGCCUGAGAGGGUGACCGGCCACACUGGGACUGAGACACGGCCCAGACUCCUACGGGAGGCAGCAGUGGGGAAUAUUGCACAAUGGGCGCAAGCCUGAUGCAGCGACGCCGCGUGAGGGAUGACGGCCUUCGGGUUGUAAACCUCUUUCAGUAGGGAAGAAGCGAAAGUGACGGUACCUGCAGAAGAAGCACCGGCUAACUACGUGCCAGCAGCCGCGGUAAUACGUAGGGUGCGAGCGUUAUCCGGAAUUAUUGGGCGUAAAGAGCUCGUAGGCGGUUUGUCGCGUCUGUCGUGAAAGUCCGGGGCUUAACCCCGGAUCUGCGGUGGGUACGGGCAGACUAGAGUGCAGUAGGGGAGACUGGAAUUCCUGGUGUAGCGGUGGAAUGCGCAGAUAUCAGGAGGAACACCGAUGGCGAAGGCAGGUCUCUGGGCUGUAACUGACGCUGAGGAGCGAAAAGCAUGGGGGAGCGAACAGGGAUUAGAUACCCUGGGUAGUCCAUGCCGUAAACGUUGGGGCACUAGGUGUUGGGGGACCAUUCCAACGGG
Molecule: ribosomal RNA, 769 nt
Filed under: uncultured Micrococcus sp.
Lineage: Bacteria; Bacillati; Actinomycetota; Actinomycetes; Micrococcales; Micrococcaceae
Description: bacterial SSU rRNA
Rfam family: Bacterial small subunit ribosomal RNA
Source: RNAcentral